CGGAUGUGUAUUAGAGGAAAUACGACAGGCAAUAUUUCUUGAUUCAGUUGGAUGUCAUCACAACUGUACCAAUACGUCAGUAUCAGAGACCAUCAAAGCGCACGCACGCACGCACGCACGUAGACAUACACUAGCGCCAGUACCUCGACUUUCACCCUACAAAUUAAACACUAAUGUGACGUGAUGAAGCGGACUGAGAACGGAGAGAUGCCCGGAUCGUGUACCACGCGGAUCAUGAUAACAACAAAAACAGCAAUAACAGCGGGCGUCCAACCAAGUGACCCGGGGUCAGGUCUCGUGACGCGACAGACCUGGGAGGCACAAAGAAAUUCACUUUGCUUGUUGUCUCGAACCCCGAAUACACAACGUUCGACUGUAUAUAGCUCCGGUGAAAUAACAACACUACAAGAGUACUGAUGUUC
Molecule: long non-coding RNA, 422 nt
Organism: Haliotis rufescens (red abalone)
Lineage: Eukaryota; Metazoa; Mollusca; Gastropoda; Lepetellida; Haliotidae
Exons: 3
Source: RefSeq, a predicted model, not a curated record